RNAcentral lists this ribosomal RNA (357 nucleotides) under Escherichia coli. Its description in RNAcentral is "partial 23S ribosomal RNA". It matches the Rfam family "Bacterial large subunit ribosomal RNA", at positions 166 to 561 of the family's 2925-position model. The record is from RNAcentral. Lineage: Bacteria; Pseudomonadati; Pseudomonadota; Gammaproteobacteria; Enterobacterales; Enterobacteriaceae.
AUAGGUUAAUGAGGCGAACCGGGGGAACUGAAACAUCUAAGUACCCCGAGGAAAAGAAAUCAACCGAGAUUCCCCCAGUAGCGGCGAGCGAACGGGGAGCAGCCCAGAGCCUGAAUCAGUAUGUGUGUUAGUGGAAGCGUCUGGAAAGGCGCGCGAUACAGGGUGACAGCCCCGUACACAAAAAUGCACAUGCUGUGAGCUCGAUGAGUAGGGCGGGACACGUGGUAUCCUGUCUGAAUAUGGGGGGACCAUCCUCCAAGGCUAAAUACUCCUGACUGACCGAUAGUGAACCAGUACCGUGAGGGAAAGGCGAAAAGAACCCCGGCGAGGGGAGUGAAAAAGAACCUGAAACCGUGU